Molecule: unclassified non-coding RNA, 379 nt
Filed under: plant metagenome
Description: partial contains 5.8S ribosomal RNA, internal transcribed spacer 2, and large subunit ribosomal RNA
Rfam family: 5.8S ribosomal RNA (bases 1-106)
Source: RNAcentral
CGAAAUGCGAUAAGUAAUGUGAAUUGCAGAAUUCAGUGAAUCAUCGAAUCUUUGAACGCACCUUGCGCUCCUUGGUAUUCCUUGGAGCAUGCCUGUUUGAGUAUCAUGAAAUCUUCAAAGUAAAUCUUUUGUUAACUCAAUUGGUUUCUACUUUGGUAUUGGAGGUCUUUGCAGCUUCACACCUGCUCCUCUUUGUUCAUUAGCUGGAUCUCAGUGUUAUGCUUGGUUCCACUCGGCGUGAUAAGUUAUCUAUCGCUGAGGACACUGUAAAAGGUGGCCAAGGUAAAUGCAGAUGAACCGCUUCUAAUAGUCAAUUGACUUGGACAAUACUUUUAUGAUCUGAUCUCAAAUCAGGUAGGACUACCCGCUGAACUUAAGC